GAUGAACGCUAGCGGCAGGCCUAAUACAUGCAAGUCGGACGGGAUCAGGGAGCUUGCUCCCUGUGAGAGUGGCGCACGGGUGCGUAACACGUAUGUAACCUACCUUUAUCAGGGGGAUAGCCUCUCGAAAGAGAGAUUAACACCGCAUAACAUCACGAUGAAGCAUUUCAAUGUGAUCAAAUAUUUAUAGGAUAAAGAUGGGCAUGCGGGACAUUAGCUAGUUGGCGGGGUAACGGCCCACCAAGGCUACGAUGUCUAGGGGAUCUGAGAGGAUGCCCCCCCACACUGGUACUGAGACACGGACCAGAAUCCGACGGGAGGCAGCAGUAAGGAAUAUUGGUCGAUGGACGCAAGUCUGAACCAGCCAUGCCGCGUGCAGGAAGACGGCCCUACGGGUUGUAAACUGCUUUUGUACCGGAAUAAACCUUUUCACGUGUGAGAAGCUGAAUGUACGGUAAGAAUAAGGAUCGGCUAACUCCGUGCCAGCAGCCGCGGUAA
Molecule: ribosomal RNA, 498 nt
Filed under: uncultured bacterium
Lineage: Bacteria
Description: partial 16S ribosomal RNA
Rfam family: Bacterial small subunit ribosomal RNA
Source: RNAcentral